CACACCGCCCGUCACACCAUGGGAGUCGUUUGCUCCAGAAGUGCCUACGCUAACCGCCCCGCAAGGGACGGAGGCAGGGCCCCAAGGAGUGAACGGUAACUGGGGUG
Molecule: ribosomal RNA, 107 nt
Filed under: uncultured bacterium
Lineage: Bacteria
Description: partial 16S ribosomal RNA
Rfam family: Bacterial small subunit ribosomal RNA
Source: RNAcentral